RNAcentral lists this ribosomal RNA (1490 nucleotides) under Bacillus sp. (in: firmicutes). RNAcentral describes it as "bacterial SSU rRNA". It matches the Rfam family "Bacterial small subunit ribosomal RNA". The record is from RNAcentral. Lineage: Bacteria; Bacillati; Bacillota; Bacilli; Caryophanales; Bacillaceae.
AGGACGAACGCUGGCGGCGUGCCUAAUACAUGCAAGUCGAGCGAAUCUGAGGGAGCUUGCUCCCAAAGAUUAGCGGCGGACGGGUGAGUAACACGUGGGCAACCUGCCUGUAAGACUGGGAUAACUUCGGGAAACCGGAGCUAAUACCGGAUAAUCCUUUUCUACUCAUGUAGAAAAGCUGAAAGAUGGCUUCGGCUAUCACUUACAGAUGGGCCCGCGGCGCAUUAGCUAGUUGGUGAGGUAACGGCUCACCAAGGCGACGAUGCGUAGCCGACCUGAGAGGGUGAUCGGCCACACUGGGACUGAGACACGGCCCAGACUCCUACGGGAGGCAGCAGUAGGGAAUCUUCCGCAAUGGACGAAAGUCUGACGGAGCAACGCCGCGUGAGUGAUGAAGGUUUUCGGAUCGUAAAACUCUGUUGUUAGGGAAGAACAAGUACCGUUCGAAUAGGGCGGUACCUUGACGGUACCUAACCAGAAAGCCACGGCUAACUACGUGCCAGCAGCCGCGGUAAUACGUAGGUGGCAAGCGUUGUCCGGAAUUAUUGGGCGUAAAGCGCGCGCAGGUGGUUUCUUAAGUCUGAUGUGAAAGCCCCCGGCUCAACCGGGGAGGGUCAUUGGAAACUGGGAGACUUGAGUGCAGAAGAGGAAAGUGGAAUUCCAAGUGUAGCGGUGAAAUGCGUAGAGAUUUGGAGGAACACCAGUGGCGAAGGCGACUUUCUGGUCUGUAACUGACACUGAGGCGCGAAAGCGUGGGGAGCGAACAGGAUUAGAUACCCUGGUAGUCCACGCCGUAAACGAUGAGUGCUAAGUGUUAGAGGGUUUCCGCCCUUUAGUGCUGCAGCAAACGCAUUAAGCACUCCGCCUGGGGAGUACGGCCGCAAGGCUGAAACUCAAAGGAAUUGACGGGGGCCCGCACAAGCGGUGGAGCAUGUGGUUUAAUUCGAAGCAACGCGAAGAACCUUACCAGGUCUUGACAUCCUCUGACAAUCCUAGAGAUAGGACGUUCCCCUUCGGGGGACAGAGUGACAGGUGGUGCAUGGUUGUCGUCAGCUCGUGUCGUGAGAUGUUGGGUUAAGUCCCGCAACGAGCGCAACCCUUGAUCUUAGUUGCCAGCAUUCAGUUGGGCACUCUAAGGUGACUGCCGGUGACAAACCGGAGGAAGGUGGGGAUGACGUCAAAUCAUCAUGCCCCUUAUGACCUGGGCUACACACGUGCUACAAUGGAUGGUACAAAGGGCUGCAAGACCGCGAGGUUUAGCCAAUCCCAUAAAACCAUUCUCAGUUCGGAUUGCAGGCUGCAACUCGCCUGCAUGAAGCCGGAAUCGCUAGUAAUCGCGGAUCAGCAUGCCGCGGUGAAUACGUUCCCGGGCCUUGUACACACCGCCCGUCACACCACGAGAGUUUGUAACACCCGAAGUCGGUGGGGUAACCGCAAGGAGCCAGCCGCCUAAGGUGGGACAGAUGAUUGGGGUGAAGUCGAAAGGGGAA